CAGUCGAACGGACUCAUAUUGAAACCUAGUGAUUUAUGAGUUAGUGGCGGACGGGUGAGUAACGCGUGGAUAACCUGCCGUAUACCGGGGGAUAACACUUGGAAAUAGGUGCUAAUACCGCAUAAGCGCACGGCUCCGCAUGGGGCAGUGUGAAAAACUCCGGUGGUAUACGAUGGAUCCGCGUCUGAUUAGCUAGUUGGCGGGGUAACGGCCCACCAAGGCAGCGAUCAGUAGCCGGCCUGAGAGGGUGGACGGCCACAUUGGGACUGAGACACGGCCCAAACUCCUACGGGAGGCAGCAGUGGGGAAUAUUGCACAAUGGGGGAAACCCUGAUGCAGCGACGCCGCGUGAGUGAAGAAGUAUCUCGGUACGUAAAGCUCUAUCAGCAGGGAAGAAAAUGACGGUACCUGACUAAGAAGCCCCGGCUAACUACGUGCCAGCAGCCGCGGUAAUACGUAGGGGGCAAGCGUUAUCCGGAUUUACUGGGUGUAAAGGGAGCGUAGACGGCAGCACAAGUCUGGAGUGAAAUCCCGGGGCUUAACCCCGGAACUGCUUUGGAAACUGUGCGGCUGGAGUGCAGGAGGGGUAAGCGGAAUUCCUAGUGUAGCGGUGAAAUGCGUAGAUAUUAGGAGGAACACCGGUGGCGAAGGCGGCUUACUGGACUGUAACUGACGUUGAGGCUCGAAAGCGUGGGGAGCAAACAGGAUUAGAUACCCUGGUAGUCCACGCCGUANACGAUGAUUACUAGGUGUCGGGGGANCAAGGUCCUCCGGUGCCGGCGCAAACGCAUUAAGUAAUCCACCUGGGGAGUACGUUCGCA
This 821-nucleotide ribosomal RNA is filed under the name uncultured bacterium. Its description in RNAcentral is "bacterial SSU rRNA". It matches the Rfam family "Bacterial small subunit ribosomal RNA", at positions 59 to 890 of the family's 1533-position model. The record is from RNAcentral.